This is an RNA transcript of Solanum pennellii, 1575 nucleotides long. It is a transcript of the gene named 40S ribosomal protein S24-1-like, with no coding region annotated. NCBI's taxonomy places the organism in Eukaryota, Viridiplantae, Streptophyta, Magnoliopsida, Solanales, Solanaceae. The record is from RefSeq and is a predicted model, not a curated record. The transcript has a single exon.
GAUGAAAAAAUACAUCUUAAAAUGUUGAUCAAAGUUUUUAUAGUUUGACUCUAAAAAUAGAAACCAUGACAAAUAAUACCGGACGGAGGGAAUAAGUGUCAUAUCUGUUUCAUCUUUUGUAACACUGCUUUGCUGUAUCUGUCCUAGCACUAAAUAGUGUCACUAGGUUGAUUAUUACUCAUUUUGCUCAAAAGUAUCAGUUUAUUCUGAUUCUUGGAUGGGAAUGCUCUCAUGAUGCACGAUGAUGGUAAGAUCUCUGAUGGUCACGUCAUUUUUUUUUGCUCUGCACUUUUUGUAUCGUAAGCAAUGUCAUACCCAUUGUGCAUGCCUAGCUCUUAUCUUUUAUCUUGUUCCUAUGAUAUCCAUUCUAUUUAUUUGGCACCUUUUCCCAAAAAAAUUAUCCAUUUGUUUCUUUUAAUACUACCUCAAAGAAUUUCUUUCUUAAGGAAUAAACUCAGGACACGCUUUGUCAUAAGCUGAAACCAUACACCUUCAUCAAAUUUUUAAUUUAAGUAACCCGUGGAAUUUUCCGAGCAUGAGCUCACCAAAUAUAGCUUUUCCCGUUAUGCCACCAUUCUGGAAAUUAGCUCCUUCUGCAGUUCUGUUACCAAGUCUCUCCAUCUGACUUGUCCCACUGUAAUGAUAUGACAGCUGUGCGUAGGAUGUCUGAUCAAUUGUGUUAGGUCUAGGAACUGUUUAAUGUUUCAGUGGAAUGAUGUUUGAAUAUUAUGGGUAACUCAUGUUCAGCGUCAUUUUAAAUCUAUUCACUCGUCUUUUGAAACAUCUCUCUUUCGUCAGUGGUUGUUUAUAUUGCUAUUUCUCUUGAUUUGUCAACACUGUUUCAGCUCCUUUCGUUUUGCUUGUGAUCAUGACAUCAUCGACUAUCUUGCUAAGUUUCAUGGUAUGUGCUUUACAGUUUUAAUAAUUAUAACAAACAACAGAACUCAGAACAGAAGGCGACACACAGUGGGAGAGAGAGAGUUGCUGGAGUAGCAAAACCAGAGUGACGAAAGACAAAAAUGGCAGACAAGAUAGUGACUAUUAGAACUAGGAAGUUCAUGAUCAAUAGAUUAUUUGCAAGGAAACAAUUCAUUAUUAAUGUCUUACAUCCUGGAAGAGUCAAUGUUUUUAACGCUGAUUUGAAAGAAAAUUGGCAAGGAUGUAUGAAGUGAAAGACUUAAAUGCCAUCUAUGUGUUCAAGUUCAGAACCCACUUUCGAAGAGGCAAAUCUUUUGGCUUUGAUUUGAUCUAUGACUGUUGAGAAUGCAGAGAAAAAUGAGAUGAAGUACAGGCUGAUCAGGAAUCGAUUGGACACUAAGGUGGAGAAGUCCAGGAAGCAAAUAGAGAGGAAGAACAGAGCCAAGAAAGUUGAUGAUGUUAAGAAGACAAAGGCAGGAGAUGCCAAGAAGAAAUGAUUUGUUAGUAAUUGUAGAUGAAGCGGGAGAUGCAUUCUGCCUAGACACUAACAAUUUUGCUCGGGUUACUCCAAUAUAUUUUGCCUGUUCAAGUACUAUUAGACCGUCAUCAAAAUUAAGUGGAUAGCUAGAAUAUUAUUCUCUUCAAAAAAAAAAAAAA